ACCUGGCUGGCUGGGUUGGAAGGGCAUGGGACUCUUGAUCUCAAGGUCGUGAGUACAAACCCCACGUUGGGUG
Molecule: transfer RNA, 73 nt
Filed under: Felis catus (domestic cat)
Lineage: Eukaryota; Metazoa; Chordata; Mammalia; Carnivora; Felidae
Rfam family: tRNA
About the family: Transfer RNA (tRNA) molecules are approximately 80 nucleotides in length.
Source: Rfam by way of RNAcentral